Molecule: ribosomal RNA, 255 nt
Filed under: uncultured bacterium
Lineage: Bacteria
Description: partial 16S ribosomal RNA
Rfam family: Bacterial small subunit ribosomal RNA
Source: RNAcentral
UACGAAGGGGGGCUAGCGUUGCUCGAAUUGACUGGGCGUAAAGGGCGCGUAGGCGGUUUUGUUAAGUCGGAUGUGAAAUCCCUCGGCUCAACUGAGGAAGUGCAUCCGAAACUGGCAGGCUUGAGUACUAAAGAGGGUCGCGGAAUUCCCGGUGUAGAGGUGAAAUUCGUAGAUAUCGGGAGGAACACCGGUGGCGAAGGCGGCGACCUGGGUAGAUACUGACGCUGAGGUGCGAAAGCGUGGGGAGCAAACAGG